AAUCUGAGGAAGAGUGGGUUCUAGCUGAGCGGAGCUGGCAGGCAGAUGGGGCAAGGGCAGGGGUGGUGAAUACCCAAAUUAUACUGAAACUCAGUUCUCAAGCUAUUCCCUAGAAGACUCAAACAUUUUUUCUUUCACUAGUUGCAAAGUAUGCUCUCCUAGAGUCAGAGUGUGUUUAAAGCCUGUCCAUGUGAGUUAUAAUCUUAAUUACAGAAUUUGAUCUCAUAUUAUGUUAACCACUGAAAUAUGGGUGAGGAAGAGUUGCUGGUUCUAUGGAAACUAUGGAAAACCUUCAGUAAAGGUGAGCUGAUAAAAACAUGAUAUUAAAUUAGGUAUACUCCCAAUUUUUUUUUUUUUUUAAGUAGGCUUCACGCCCAGCAGGGAGCCCAAUGUAGGGCUUGAACUCACAACCCUGACAUGAAGACCUGAGCCGAGAUCCAAAGUCAGUUGCUUAACUGACUGAGCCACCAUGUGCCCCUAGGCCAGUCAAUUUUUAAAACUUGGGAAACUAUAAUAACAUCUAGAAAAAUUUUGGGACUCCAGCAACUUCACAAGUGUCUUCAUGUCACUGCUCAACUUUACAGAAGCCGAAAGUGGAAAUGGCGGACAAUGCAUUAAUGCAGAAAAGGCAGUAAGGAACUUCUAUCAGUUGACUGCAAAUCAAGGUCAAGCCCUUGUCCUCAGGCUAAAAGGCUCUGUAUGUAUAUGGGCAUAUGUAUACACCAACACAUAAUUCUUUACUGAGCUAUUUAAGGAAAGUUCCUCAUGUUGUGUUUAUAUGAUUCUUUUCAUGACUGAAGUUAUUCAUUCUCAGCUGGACUACUGAAUAGGUAAUGUUGUGUCCUUUGGGUAUCAUGUCUGGAGGCACAUGAUGUCUGUCUCUCAUUGGUGAUGUUAACUUUGAUCACCUGGUCAAAAUGUUGCCCAAUUUGUCUACUAAAUAAUUGCUAGUGUUUUUUCUCCCCUCCCUUGCAACUAAUAAGUAGUCUCUGUAGGAGAAUCUCUAAGACUGUGCAAAUAUUCUACAUCUCAUCGAAUUUGCCCCACUGAUGACUUUACCUGAUCCAACAUUUACCAGAAUGUUUGCAAAAUGAUGAUUUUUCCCUCUAAUUUUUCUCCUUCUACAUUUAUCAGUUGGCUCUCAGCAUUCUAUUGUAAGUGCAAGUCCUCAUUUCUCCCUCACUUAUUUAUCUACUUAUUAUCAGUGUGGAUUAUAAAUUCCUAUUUUUCCAAUAGUUUACUUUGUACUUCAGUGCUAAAAUUGCCUCAGAUUUGGACAGUUGGCAUCCCUUCCGUGUCCUCAAGACCUUAAAAAGAUAUUCUAGACUCAUCUUGUACCUACCCUGUGACAGCCCUGGAGUCACCCAUUUUCUGAGGAGCCCUGGUAGGGAAUGAUAUUAGCAACUAAGACCAGGACACAAAGUUGCUUCUUGCUGUUGGAGUGUCUUUGCUUCUUAGUCUCUUCAGUAGACAGGGCUAGGAAAUAUACUCAGGUAUAUAUUCACAUAUGCAUACACUUAUAUACAUAUACAUGUGCACAUAAGCAUGCGUAUACAUAUAAUAUGUGUGUACUUCUAAAUGCAAUGGAAAUUACAGAGUAGAUGCCAAGAAAAUGGAAGUUUAUAAGAUAAGCUCAUGAUAUUUCCUCAGAAUUCAGAAUAAAGGAAUGAAUGAUGCUGAAGAUAAAAGAAAUGGAGAAGAGAUCCAGAAAAUCCAAUAUACAAGUAUGAAUUCUGGAAGGAGACCAGAGCAAAUCUAAGAGCCAUUAUCAAAUAACUGAUAAACAGAUUACCUGCCCAGGAAAAAAAAAUCAGAUUGAUAACAGAUUGGCCCACAAUGCUAAAUAUCAGAAGACAAUGAUGCAAUAUCCUAGGUUUGGAGAAAAAAAUGUCUGUGGCUUCAGAAUUCAAUAUCUAGCCAAUCUGUGAUAUAAGGACAUUAUAAAGUCAUCCUAGACAUAAAGAACUUAGAAAUUUUAACACCUCUAACUCCCUUCUUAGAAAAAAUAAAUACUCAAAGAAAUAUUGCUGCCAUUUAAGUAAAGAAUGAAAAUAAUGAAAAGAUGGGGUAUUUCUAAAAAUGGUAGUGCAACAACAUGGAUGGACCUAGAGGGCAUUAUGCUAGAUGAAAUGAGUCAGAGAGAGAAAGACAAAUACCA
Molecule: long non-coding RNA, 2158 nt
Organism: Felis catus (domestic cat)
Lineage: Eukaryota; Metazoa; Chordata; Mammalia; Carnivora; Felidae
Exons: 3
Source: RefSeq, a predicted model, not a curated record